GGUCCUAUGGUGUAGUGGUUAUCACAGCUGCUUUACGCGCAGUAGGUCCUGGGUUCGAAUCCCAGUGGGACCA
This is a non-coding RNA of Antechinus flavipes (yellow-footed antechinus), 73 nucleotides long. The record is from the annotation of a RefSeq genome assembly. Lineage: Eukaryota; Metazoa; Chordata; Mammalia; Dasyuromorphia; Dasyuridae.